RNAcentral lists this ribosomal RNA (429 nucleotides) under uncultured bacterium. Its description in RNAcentral is "bacterial SSU rRNA". It matches the Rfam family "Bacterial small subunit ribosomal RNA", at positions 29 to 507 of the family's 1533-position model. The record is from RNAcentral.
AACGAACGCUGGCGGCAGGCUUAACACAUGCAAGUCGAGCGCCUCGCAAGGGGAGCGGCAGACGGGUGAGUAACGCGUGGGAACGUACCCUUCUCUACGGAAUAACACAGAGAAAUUUGUGCUAAUACCGUAUACGCCCUUCGGGGAAAGAUUUAUCGGGGAAGGAUCGGCCCGCGUCGGAUUAGGUAGUUGGUGGGGUAAUGGCCUACCAAGCCUACGAUCCGUAGCUGGUCUGAGAGGAUGAUCAGCCACACUGGGACUGAGACACGGCCCAGACUCCUACGGGAGGCAGCAGUGGGGAAUAUUGGACAAUGGGGGCAACCCUGAUCCAGCCAUGCCGCGUGAGUGAUGAAGGCCUUAGGGUUGUAAAGCUCUUUCACCCACGACGAUAAUGACGGUAGUGGGAGAAGAAGCCCGGCUAACUUCGUG